Molecule: ribosomal RNA, 301 nt
Filed under: uncultured bacterium
Lineage: Bacteria
Description: partial 16S ribosomal RNA
Rfam family: Bacterial small subunit ribosomal RNA
Source: RNAcentral
CAGUAGCCACGGGAAUACGAAGGGGGCUAGCGUUGCUCGGAAUGACUGGGCGUAAAGGGCGCGUAGGCGGAUCACGCAGUCAGAUGUGAAAUUCCUGGGCUUAACCUGGGGGCUGCAUUUGAGACGCGUGGUCUAGAGUGUGAAAGAGGGUCGUGGAAUUCCCAGUGUAGAGGUGAAAUUCGUAGAUAUUGGGAAGAACACCGGUGGCGAAGGCGGCGACCUGGUUCAUGACUGACGCUGAGGCGCGAAAGCGUGGGGAGCAAACAGGAUUAGAUACCCCAGUAGUCCCUGUCUCUUAUAC